RNAcentral lists this ribosomal RNA (289 nucleotides) under uncultured Chondromyces sp. RNAcentral describes it as "partial 16S ribosomal RNA". The record is from RNAcentral. Lineage: Bacteria; Pseudomonadati; Myxococcota; Polyangiales; Polyangiaceae.
CUACAGGGGUAUCUAAUCCUGUUUGCUCCCCACGCUUUCGCGUCUCAGCGUCAGUCACUGUCCAGAAGGCCGCCUUCGCCACCGGUGUUCCGCUUGAUAUCUACGAAUUUCACCUCUACACCAAGCAUUCCACCUUCCUCUCCAGGACUCUAGCCCUGCAGUUUCGAGUGCACUUCCACGGUUGAGCCGUGGGAUUUCACACCCGACUUGCAGGGCCGCCUACACGCGCUUUACGCCCAGUAAUUCCGAACAACGUUUGCACCCUCUGUCUUACCGCGGCUGCUGGCAC